This 380-nucleotide ribosomal RNA is filed under the name uncultured eukaryote. Its description in RNAcentral is "partial 18S ribosomal RNA". It matches the Rfam family "Eukaryotic small subunit ribosomal RNA", at positions 592 to 976 of the family's 1831-position model. The record is from RNAcentral.
CAAUAGCGUAUAUUAAAGUUGUUGCGGUUAAAAAGCUCGUAGUUGGAUUUCUGUUGGGAACGACCGGUCCGCCCAUUGGGUGUGUAUCUGGCUUGUUCUCGGCAUCUUCUUGGUGAACGUUGCUGCACUUGACUGUGUGGAGCGCUACCCAGGACUUUUACUUUGAGGAAAUUAGAGUGUUUCAAGCAGGCAUAUGCCUUGAAUACAUUAGCAUGGAAUAAUAAGAUAGGACCUCGGUUCUAUUUUGUUGGUUUCUAGAGCUGAGGUAAUGAUUAAUAGGGAUAGUUGGGGGCAUUCGUAUUUAACUGUCGGAGGUGAAAUUCUUGGAUUUGUUAAAGACGGACUACUGCGAAAGCAUUUGCCAAGGAUGUUUUCAUUGA